CCUACGGGUGGCUGCAGUGGGGAAUAUUGGGCAAUGGGCGCAAGCCUGACCCAGCAACGCCGCGUGAAGGAAGAAGGCCCUCGGGUUGUAAACUUCUUUUAACAGGGACGAAGAAAGUGACGGUACCAGUUGAAUAAGCCACGGCUAACUACGCGCCAGCAGCCGCGGUAAUGCGUGGGAUGCAAGCGUUCUCCGGAGUUAUGGGGUUUAAAGGGUGCGUAGGCGGUGAGUUAAGGCCGCGGGGAAAUGCCCCCGCUCAACGGGGUGACGUGCCAUUGAUACUGCCUUGCUGGAGUGCGGAUGCCGUGGGAGGAAUGUGUGGUGUAGCGGUUAACUGCAUAGAUAUCACACAGAACACCGAUUGCGACGGCAUCUCACGAAUCCGCGAUUGACGCUGAUGCACGAAAGCGUGGGUAUCAAACAGGAUUAGCUACCCUAGUAGUC
RNAcentral lists this ribosomal RNA (444 nucleotides) under uncultured bacterium. RNAcentral's name for it is "partial 16S ribosomal RNA". It matches the Rfam family "Bacterial small subunit ribosomal RNA", at positions 338 to 795 of the family's 1533-position model. The record is from RNAcentral.